RNAcentral lists this non-coding RNA (169 nucleotides) under Pseudomonadota bacterium. Its description in RNAcentral is "Proteobacteria bacterium MoCo sequence". It matches the Rfam family "Molybdenum/Tungsten riboswitch aptamer (Moco RNA motif)". The record is from RNAcentral. Lineage: Bacteria; Pseudomonadati; Pseudomonadota.
ACAUUUGGGCUGCUCCGAGCCCUGGCGCCUAAGGCUCCCUUUUUGAUGCGAUGGCGCCAUGGCCGAGCGCGGCGGGCCGAUGAAUGGGUCAAAGGCCUGCCGCGCCAAGGGAGGCGCGCGGAAACGCCGUCUCCUCCCGUGUUUGGAAAGGGGCGGCGGCGUGCAGCGA